RNAcentral lists this ribosomal RNA (301 nucleotides) under uncultured bacterium. RNAcentral describes it as "partial 16S ribosomal RNA". It matches the Rfam family "Bacterial small subunit ribosomal RNA", at positions 509 to 807 of the family's 1533-position model. The record is from RNAcentral.
CAGUCGCCGCGGUAAUACAGAGGGUGCGAGCGUUAAUCGGAUUUACUGGGCGUAAAGCGUGCGUAGGCGGUCUGACAAGUCAGAUGUGAAAUCCCCGGGCUUAACCUGGGAACUGCAUUUGAAACUGUCAGGCUGGAGUCUUGUAGAGGGGGGUAGAAUUCCAGGUGUAGCGGUGAAAUGCGUAGAGAUCUGGAGGAAUACCGGUGGCGAAGGCGGCCCCCUGGACAAAGACUGACGCUCAGGUGCGAAAGCGUGGGGAGCAAACAGGAUUAGAUACCCCAGUAGUCCCUGUCUCUUAUAC